RNAcentral lists this ribosomal RNA (253 nucleotides) under uncultured bacterium. Its description in RNAcentral is "partial 16S ribosomal RNA". It matches the Rfam family "Bacterial small subunit ribosomal RNA", at positions 524 to 776 of the family's 1533-position model. The record is from RNAcentral.
GCCAGAGGGUGCAACCGUUGUUCGGAUUUACUGGGCGUAAAGCGCGUGUAGGCGGCUUUGCAAGUCGGAUGUGAAAGCCCACGGCUCAACCGUGGAAGUGCAUCCGAAACUGCAUGGCUCGAGUCUCGGAGAGGAAGGUGGAAUGCUUGGUGUAGAGGUGAAAUUCGUAGAUAUCAAGCAGAACACCUGCGGCGAAGGCGGCCUUCUGGACGAUGACUGACGCUGAGACGCGAAAGCGUGGGGAGCAAACAGG